This 434-nucleotide long non-coding RNA is filed under the name Equus asinus (donkey). RNAcentral's name for it is "lncRNA (ENSEASG00005026652.1)". Lineage: Eukaryota; Metazoa; Chordata; Mammalia; Perissodactyla; Equidae. The record is from RNAcentral.
AAAUGCGAAACGUUUGCUCCUUGCUCCUCUUUGGUUCAGCAUCUGGAAUAAGAACUACAGAGUCAGCCAGAGCUGCCCGGAAGGAGGAGGUCCUUCCUGGAGCCCCGACUCGGAGAUGAACCUGGUCCUCUGACUGGGGAGAGCCCUGGAGAAGUUGCCGCCUUCUCUGCUGUUAUCAAGAGUUGGAGGAGCCAUGUGAUAUCCUGCGCAAGGACUGCAGACAACCGUGACUCAAUGUUUCUUGCAGUCAAGCUUUACAAGUUCUCUGCCCAGAAUGACCUCCCAACCCUCACCUCUCCAAGUCAUCUGUUCAGCCAUUAACUCUUUCAUGCUUGCAGACAUAGAUGCAUGCACUUUAAGAAGACCAUUUGCUGAGCACUGGAUCAGGCACUGUUCAAGGCAUCGGGCCACAAAGGCAUGUUCAUUAGUCUCAA